AGCAGAUCUCUUCACUCUCACACCAGCCAGGUCUGACUCCACCCGGACUCCAGGGUGGACACAACCAGGCCUGGCUCACCACUGGCCAGGGGUUCAGAGAUGAGCAUGUGACUCACUUAGGCCAGUGAGGCUCACAUCCAGAGGCUUUGCCGGACAAUUUGGAAUGAGAAUAAAACCAACACCGAAGAAAGCAGAACCAAGAGAUCAUCUCCAGGUGACAUAGUUUGGGUCCUUAGCUGUAGCUGUGCCUGAAGGUCGAUCUAUCCUAAGAUUUUUAUGAGUGGGAACGUCCAAGCUGCUGGCCUGGAGUAUUGCUCAGUUGGAAGGACAGAAGCGCACUCAAGCUACUCAGGGCAGGAAGCUGGAAACCGCCCCUGCAACAUUCCAGGAUGCCAGAGCCAGGACCUUGGUCUGCCUGCUGAUUGACGUCUUCCCUGGCUGUUACUGGACCCACACUGGAAAAAGAUGCUGGUAUGGGAAUCCCACGGAUAAAAAGAACUUAUCAAAGGAAAUGCAGCAAAGGAGCUUCUUACCCCUACCAACCCAGCAAUGUACACAGUGAAGCUGUCAUUCAAAUCAGGACUGGGAAGCAACUGAUCUACAACGUACCUCCAUGAGGGAACAACAUGAAGACCCCCUAGAGGAACGCCCAGCACAGACCUCAUGUAUCCAGGGUACUCAGGAAGCAGGAGUGUCGGACAAUUCGAGCUGGGCCCCCAGCAGGUGUUAAGCGCUUCUCGUUGGCACAAUACUUCAUGAGUCAUUGUUUCGUCUGAGCUUCCCAACCAGGCCACGAAGUAGGUAUUAUUUCUCUCCCCAGCUCCAAUUUUUUUAAACAAAUGAGGAAACUAAGGGUGGGACAUGGUAAGUAACUGCUCAAAGUCACACUGUUGGAUGAAGAUCAGAACUGGAACUUGAAUCCAGGUUUUAGCUUAUGCAAAUUCGGUGCCUUUUUCUGGUAUUAAAAAAAACUGGUCAAGGAAGGCUUCACAGAGGAGGAGGUGCUUGAACUACCCAACCAGCAAGGCACCAAGUACAAGGGUGAUAGGGCCUCUGGGCAAAAGCACAGAGGUGCAACACAGCAAGGCCAGUUCAGGAAACAAAACAUGGCUUCUACGAACAGAAUGUGCGCUCCUUGAGGACAAGAAGGAUGCAGCUCCUUCAGCAGACACUGGAUGACUUUGCAGGAUGGAUGUGUGGAGCACAGAUUCGCUAGAGAGGAGUAGCCGGGAAGUCAGUGAGGGAGAGGCAUUCACCCAACAUGGAAGGCGGUGGGGGGGCCAUAGUGCUAAGAGAAUCAGCUGGAAGGUGGUUCCAGCAGAGAGAAGAGGAGGGCCAGAAGGAAACCAGGGUAGGAAGAGGAAACAAACGUUUGGGAGUUAGGCUCCCCGGAGGCCUGGCGACACCCUGAAGGGGAGGGGUGACGGGCACCCAUCUGCAGGCAGAAAGGCAGGGGCAGGGGGGAGACCGAGGAUGGUGGCUGUGGAGGGAACAAGCGCGGGUGGUGCAACCUCAGCAGUCACUCGCGGGGCUGCACGCCGGCGAGGGCGGGGCCUCCCAGACCGGAGGGCUGGAGGAGGCGUCCGCAACCUGCCAGAACCCAGUUAACAAAGGCAGGACUACAACUCCCAGCAUG
Lemur catta (Ring-tailed lemur) is the source of this 1636-nucleotide long non-coding RNA. RefSeq lists it as uncharacterized. The transcript has 5 exons. The record is from RefSeq and is a predicted model, not a curated record. Lineage: Eukaryota; Metazoa; Chordata; Mammalia; Primates; Lemuridae.